This is a long non-coding RNA of Triticum dicoccoides, 397 nucleotides long. RefSeq lists it as uncharacterized. The record is from RefSeq and is a predicted model, not a curated record. The transcript has 4 exons. NCBI's taxonomy places the organism in Eukaryota, Viridiplantae, Streptophyta, Magnoliopsida, Poales, Poaceae.
GUGACGCCAUCGUGGAGGCUUUGAUAGCAAAUGGCUCCACAUUUGGAAAUAAGACAGUGUUCUCACAGGAGAAAUACAAGCUGAAGGAACAAAACAAAUAUGCGCCUAAAGUGCUUUUGCGGCGCCCCUCUACCCGAAGGUUUAUGUGAGUUGAUGCGCUCUCCCUCUUGUUGUCUAUGGCAAUUGUUGGUGCAUAUUCAGAUGUGCUUGCCGUUGAUAUGGUUGGGGGUUUAGUUGUUGGAGCUGUAUCUGAACACUUAGGAGGGAUUUGCGCGGUGGAGACAGCUAUCCAUUUGUGCGGUCAUUGGAUUAGUAAACAGAGAGGGGGGAGGGAGGGAGCAAUGGACAAGAAGGCAACAAAGAUGAAGAUGCUCUCGUCGGCAGCGGCUUUCGUGGA